This 379-nucleotide ribosomal RNA is filed under the name uncultured Streptococcus sp. RNAcentral's name for it is "bacterial SSU rRNA". It matches the Rfam family "Bacterial small subunit ribosomal RNA", at positions 1000 to 1382 of the family's 1533-position model. Lineage: Bacteria; Bacillati; Bacillota; Bacilli; Lactobacillales; Streptococcaceae. The record is from RNAcentral.
CUAGAGAUAGAAGUUACUUCGGUACAUCGGUGGCAGGUGGUGCAUGGUUGUCGUCAGCUCGUGUCGUGAGAUGUUGGGUUAAGUCCCGCAACGAGCGCAACCCCUAUUGUUAGUUGCCAUCAUUCAGUUGGGCACUCUAGCGAGACUGCCGGUAAUAAACCGGAGGAAGGUGGGGAUGACGUCAAAUCAUCAUGCCCCUUAUGACCUGGGCUACACACGUGCUACAAUGGUUGGUACAACGAGUUGCGAGUCGGUGACGGCGAGCUAAUCUCUUAAAGCCAAUCUCAGUUCGGAUUGUAGGCUGCAACUCGCCUACAUGAAGUCGGAAUCGCUAGUAAUCGCGGAUCAGCACGCCGCGGUGAAUACGUUCCCGGGCCUU